Molecule: ribosomal RNA, 766 nt
Filed under: uncultured Providencia sp.
Lineage: Bacteria; Pseudomonadati; Pseudomonadota; Gammaproteobacteria; Enterobacterales; Morganellaceae
Description: bacterial SSU rRNA
Rfam family: Bacterial small subunit ribosomal RNA
Source: RNAcentral
GGACAAGACUGACGCUCAGGUGCGAAAGCGUGGGGAGCAAACAGGAUUAGAUACCUGGUAGUCACGCUGUAAACGAUGUCGAUUUGGAGUGUUCCCUGAGGAGUGGCUUCCGGAGCUAACGCGUUAAAUCGACCGCCUGGGGAGUACGGCCGCAAGGUUAAAACUCAAAUGAAUUGACGGGGGCCCGCACAAGCGGUGGAGCAUGUGGUUUAAUUCGAUGCAACGCGAAGAACCUUACCUACUCUUGACAUCCAGAGAAUUUAGCAGAGAUGCUUUAGUGCCUUCGGGAACUCUGAGACAGGUGCUGCAUGGCUGUCGUCAGCUCGUGUUGUGAAAUGUUGGGUUAAGUCCCGCAACGAGCGCAACCCUUAUCCUUUGUUGCCAGCACAUUAUGGUGGGAACUCAAAGGAGACUGCCGGUGAUAAACCGGAGGAAGGUGGGGAUGACGUCAAGUCAUCAUGGCCCUUACGAGUAGGGCUACACACGUGCUACAAUGGCGUAUACAAAGAGAAGCGACCUCGCGAGAGCAAGCGGAACUCAUAAAGUACGUCGUAGUCCGGAUUGGAGUCUGCAACUCGACUCCAUGAAGUCGGAAUCGCUAGUAAUCGUAGAUCAGAAUGCUACGGUGAAUACGUUCCCGGGCCUUGUACACACCGCCCGUCACACCGUGGGAGUGGGUUGCAAAAGAAGUAGGUAGCUUAACCUUCGGGAGGGCGCUUACCACUUUGUGAUUCAUGACUGGGGUGAAGUCGUAACAAGGUAACCA